GUAGGGAAUCUUGCGCAAUGAGGGAAACCUUGACGCAGCGACGCCGCGUGCGGGAUGAAGGCCUUCGGGUUGUAAACCGCUUUCAGCAGGGACGAAAUUGACGGUACCUGCAGAAGAAGGCCCGGCCAACUACGUGCCAGCAGCCGCGGUAAUACGUAGGGGCCUAGCGUUGUCCGGAUUUAUUGGGCGUAAAGAGCUCGUAGGCGGUUCGGUAAGUCAGGUGUGAAAUCUCCACGCUCAACGUGGAGGCGCCACCUGAAACUGCCGUGACUCGAGUCCGGUAGGGGAGUGUGGAAUUCCUGGUGUAGCGGUGAAAUGCGCAGAUAUCAGGAGGAACACCAGUGGCGAAGGCGGCACUCUGGGCCGGUACUGACGCUGAGGAGCGAAAGCGUGGGGAGCGAACAGGAUUAGAAACCCCGGUAGUCC
Molecule: ribosomal RNA, 426 nt
Filed under: uncultured bacterium
Lineage: Bacteria
Description: bacterial SSU rRNA
Rfam family: Bacterial small subunit ribosomal RNA
Source: RNAcentral